RNAcentral lists this microRNA (24 nucleotides) under Glycine max (soybean). RNAcentral describes it as "gma-miR4388". Lineage: Eukaryota; Viridiplantae; Streptophyta; Magnoliopsida; Fabales; Fabaceae. The record is from miRBase by way of RNAcentral.
AAUCUUAGGGACCAAAUUGACAGC